UACGUAGGGUGCGAGCGUUAAUCGGAAUUACUGGGCGUAAAGCGUGCGCAGGCGGUUUUGUAAGACAGGCGUGAAAUCCCCCGGGCUCAACCUGGGAAUUGCGCUUGUGACUGCAAGGCUGGAGUGCGGCAGAGGGGGAUGGAAUUCCGCGUGUAGCAGUGAAAUGCGUAGAUAUGCGGAGGAACACCGAUGGCGAAGGCAAUCCCCUGGGCCUGCACUGACGCUGAGGUGCGAAAGCGUGGGGAGCAAACAGG
RNAcentral lists this ribosomal RNA (254 nucleotides) under uncultured bacterium. RNAcentral describes it as "partial 16S ribosomal RNA". It matches the Rfam family "Bacterial small subunit ribosomal RNA", at positions 524 to 776 of the family's 1533-position model. The record is from RNAcentral.